CGGAGGAUAUAAGGUGGCUCAUUUUCCUGCGCCGCGCCCUUUAAGGUCAGAUUUUUCUGGUCCUUUGCGUAAUUUUCUUAGCGUGAGGUCUGGUGGUUGGUUGCGGAGGUUUGAAGACUGGAUGCUUGAGGUGGCUGCGGCUAAAGAUCUGGAGGAGACGUUAUCUGACGUCGAAGCUUCUGUUGGUGACUUGAUUAGUGCGAAGGAGUUUGAGGAGAUGGCGGCGAUUACCUUUGAAUUUGGAGAGUCUACUGUGAGGGAGGAGGAUAUUGCCGAUAUGGUCGAGGCUAGGUUUUUUAAGGAAGGUCGAGCGAAGGCUCCUCCUGCGGGUCAGACGGUACCUGCACCUGAAGAGGGUUAUGCGGU
This 366-nucleotide long non-coding RNA is filed under the name Sorghum bicolor (sorghum). RNAcentral's name for it is "long non-coding RNA (SBIC_LNC016536)". Lineage: Eukaryota; Viridiplantae; Streptophyta; Magnoliopsida; Poales; Poaceae. The record is from RNAcentral.